RNAcentral lists this ribosomal RNA (601 nucleotides) under Pseudomonas synxantha. RNAcentral's name for it is "bacterial SSU rRNA". Lineage: Bacteria; Pseudomonadati; Pseudomonadota; Gammaproteobacteria; Pseudomonadales; Pseudomonadaceae. The record is from RNAcentral.
AGUCGAGCGGUAGAGAGAAGCUUGCUUCUCUUGAGAGCGGCGGACGGGYYAKUAAUGCCUAGGAAUCUGCCUGGUAGUGGGGGAUAACGUUCGGAAACGGACGCUAAUACCGCAUACGUCCUACGGGAGAAAGCAGGGGACCUUCGGGCCUUGCGCUAUCAGAUGAGCCUAGGUCGGAUUAGCUAGUUGGUGGGGUAAUGGCUCACCAAGGCGACGAUCCGUAACUGGUCUGAGAGGAUGAUCAGUCACACUGGAACUGAGACACGGUCCAGACUCCUACGGGAGGCAGCAGUGGGGAAUAUUGGACAAUGGGCGAAAGCCUGAUCCAGCCAUGCCGCGUGUGUGAAGAAGGUCUUCGGAUUGUAAAGCACUUUAAGUUGGGAGGAAGGGUUGUAGAUUAAUACUCUGCAAUUUUGACGUUACCGACAGAAUAAGCACCGGCUAACUCUGUGCCAGCAGCCGCGGUAAUACAGAGGGUGCAAGCGUUAAUCGGAAUUACUGGGCGUAAAGCGCGCGUAGGUGGUUUGUUAAGUUGGAUGUGAAAUCCCCGGGCUCAACCUGGGAACUGCAUUCAAAACUGACUGACUAGAGUAUGGUAGAG